GGGGGCGGGGAGAUGUGUUUCAUGCCAAGGUACUCGUCACUGUUGUGUUGGAUGGUGACAUAUUAAUCCCUUUACCUUUGAGGGGGCGGGGAGAUGUGUUUCAUGCCAAGGUACUCGUCACUGUUGUGUUGGAUGGUGACAUAUUAAUCCCUUUACCUUUGAGGGGGCGGGGAGAUGUGUUUCAUGCCAAGGUACUCGUCACUGUUGUGUUGGAUGGUGACAUAUUAAUCCCUUUACCUUUGAGGGGGCGGGGAGAUGUGUUUCAUGCCUAGGUACUCGUCACUGUUGUGU
Long non-coding RNA from Eriocheir sinensis (Chinese mitten crab), 291 nucleotides. RefSeq lists it as uncharacterized. Lineage: Eukaryota; Metazoa; Arthropoda; Malacostraca; Decapoda; Varunidae. The record is from RefSeq and is a predicted model, not a curated record. The transcript has 3 exons.